This 465-nucleotide ribosomal RNA is filed under the name Vreelandella stevensii. RNAcentral's name for it is "partial 16S ribosomal RNA". It matches the Rfam family "Bacterial small subunit ribosomal RNA", at positions 338 to 795 of the family's 1533-position model. Lineage: Bacteria; Pseudomonadati; Pseudomonadota; Gammaproteobacteria; Oceanospirillales; Halomonadaceae. The record is from RNAcentral.
CCUACGGGUGGCUGCAGUGGGGAAUAUUGGACAAUGGGCGAAAGCCUGAUCCAGCCAUGCCGCGUGUGUGAAGAAGGCCUUCGGGUUGUAAAGCACUUUCAGUGGGGAAGAAAGCCUUGGGGCUAAUACCCUCGAGGAAGGACAUCACCCACAGAAGAAGCACCGGCUAACUCCGUGCCAGCAGCCGCGGUAAUACGGAGGGUGCGAGCGUUAAUCGGAAUUACUGGGCGUAAAGCGCGCGUAGGCGGUCUGAUAAGCCGGUUGUGAAAGCCCCGGGCUCAACCUGGGAACGGCAUCCGGAACUGUCAGGCUAGAGUGCAGGAGAGGAAGGUAGAAUUCCCGGUGUAGCGGUGAAAUGCGUAGAGAUCGGGAGGAAUACCAGUGGCGAAGGCGGCCUUCUGGACUGACACUGACGCUGAGGUGCGAAAGCGUGGGUAGCAAACAGGAUUAGCUACCCUUGUAGUC